This 253-nucleotide ribosomal RNA is filed under the name uncultured bacterium. RNAcentral describes it as "partial 16S ribosomal RNA". It matches the Rfam family "Bacterial small subunit ribosomal RNA", at positions 524 to 776 of the family's 1533-position model. The record is from RNAcentral.
UACGGGGGGGGCAAGCGUUGUUCGGAAUUACUGGGCGUAAAGGGCUCGUAGGCGGCCAACUAAGUCGGACGUGAAAUCCCUCGGCUCAACCGGGGAACUGCGUCCGAUACUGGAUGGCUUGAAUCCGGGAGAGGGAUGCGGAACUCCAGGUGUAGCGGUGAAAUGCGUAGAUAUCUGGAGGAACACCGGUGGCGAAGGCGGCAUCCUGGACCGGCAUUGACGCUGAGGAGCGAAAGCCAGGGGAGCAAACGGG